GUUUAUAGCUAUAACUAACGACGAAAUCAGUGAACAACUGGGUCGUCGUGAAAUCUACAUAGCAUUUCGUGGAACAACGAGGAAUUACGAAUGGGUCAAUGUUCUUGGUGCUCGAUCUGAAUCAGCUGAACCUCUAAUCUGUAAUGGAGGAAGUAUUUGUAAUGAUGACGAAAAUGCCCCUAGAGUGAUGAAUGGGUGGUUGAAGAUCUACAUAUCCAGUGACCCAAAAUCACCAUUUACGAGAUUAAGUAUUAGAGCACAGCUUCAAGUAAUGAUUGAAGAUCUAAGAGAUCGGUAUAAAAAGGAGAAUCUGAGUAUAACUUUUACUGGGCACAGUUUAGGUGCAAGUUUAUCAAUUUUAGCAGCU
Molecule: unclassified non-coding RNA, 367 nt
Filed under: Hevea brasiliensis (rubber tree)
Lineage: Eukaryota; Viridiplantae; Streptophyta; Magnoliopsida; Malpighiales; Euphorbiaceae
Source: RNAcentral